AUUCACAUAGUCUAGCGGUCAAGACACCUUGAAAUCAUAUAACUCGGGCACACUGUGAGAUUUCAUGGAGACGGGAGUUCGAUUCUUCCUGUGAAUG
Non-coding RNA from Rhodocollybia butyracea, 97 nucleotides. Lineage: Eukaryota; Fungi; Basidiomycota; Agaricomycetes; Agaricales; Omphalotaceae. The record is from the annotation of a GenBank genome assembly.